Molecule: ribosomal RNA, 660 nt
Filed under: Bacillus cereus
Lineage: Bacteria; Bacillati; Bacillota; Bacilli; Caryophanales; Bacillaceae
Description: bacterial SSU rRNA
Rfam family: Bacterial small subunit ribosomal RNA
Source: RNAcentral
GCAGUCGAGCGAAUGGAUUAAGAGCUUGCUCUUAUGAAGUUAGCGGCGGACGGGUGAGUAACACGUGGGUAACCUGCCCAUAAGACUGGGAUAACUCCGGGAAACCGGGGCUAAUACCGGAUAACAUUUUGAACCGCAUGGUUCGAAAUUGAAAGGCGGCUUCGGCUGUCACUUAUGGAUGGACCCGCGUCGCAUUAGCUAGUUGGUGAGGUAACGGCUCACCAAGGCAACGAUGCGUAGCCGACCUGAGAGGGUGAUCGGCCACACUGGGACUGAGACACGGCCCAGACUCCUACGGGAGGCAGCAGUAGGGAAUCUUCCGCAAUGGACGAAAGUCUGACGGAGCAACGCCGCGUGAGUGAUGAAGGCUUUCGGGUCGUAAAACUCUGUUGUUAGGGAAGAACAAGUGCUAGUUGAAUAAGCUGGCACCUUGACGGUACCUAACCAGAAAGCCACGGCUAACUACGUGCCAGCAGCCGCGGUAAUACGUAGGUGGCAAGCGUUAUCCGGAAUUAUUGGGCGUAAAGCGCGCGCAGGUGGUUUCUUAAGUCUGAUGUGAAAGCCCACGGCUCAACCGUGGAGGGUCAUUGGAAACUGGGAGACUUGAGUGCAGAAGAGGAAAGUGAUUCCAUGUGUAGCGGUGAAAUGCGUAGAAGAUAU